Molecule: transfer RNA, 72 nt
Filed under: Candidatus Aerophobota bacterium
Lineage: Bacteria; Candidatus Aerophobota
Description: Candidatus Aerophobetes bacterium tRNA-Asn
Rfam family: tRNA
About the family: Transfer RNA (tRNA) molecules are approximately 80 nucleotides in length.
Source: RNAcentral
UCCGGAUUAGCUCAGCGGUAGAGCAGCGGACUGUUAAUCCGUUAGUCGCUGGUUCAAAUCCAGCAUCCGGAG